Molecule: ribosomal RNA, 240 nt
Filed under: uncultured bacterium
Lineage: Bacteria
Description: partial 16S ribosomal RNA
Rfam family: Bacterial small subunit ribosomal RNA
Source: RNAcentral
CGAGCGGCGGACGGGUAAGGAACACAUCGGAAUCUACCCUGUCGUGGGGGACAACGUAGGGAAACUUACGCUAAUACCGCAUACGACCUUUGGGUGAAAGCGGGGACCCGCAAGGGCCCCGCGCGAUUGGAUGAGCCGAUGUCCGAUUAGCUAGUUGGCGGGGUAAUGGCCCACCAAGGCGACGAUCGGUAGCUGGUCUGAGAGGACGACCAGCCACACUGGAACUGAGACACGGUCCAG